GGUUGCGAUCAUAACAGCACUAAUGCACCGGAUCCCAUCAGAACUCCGUAGUUAAGCGUGCUUGAGCGAGAGUAGUACUAGGAUGGGUGACCCCCUGGGAAGUCCUCGUGUUGCAAUCC
RNAcentral lists this ribosomal RNA (119 nucleotides) under Helianthus annuus (common sunflower). Lineage: Eukaryota; Viridiplantae; Streptophyta; Magnoliopsida; Asterales; Asteraceae. The record is from RNAcentral.